RNAcentral lists this ribosomal RNA (497 nucleotides) under uncultured bacterium. RNAcentral describes it as "partial 16S ribosomal RNA". It matches the Rfam family "Bacterial small subunit ribosomal RNA", at positions 28 to 507 of the family's 1533-position model. The record is from RNAcentral.
GAUGAACGCUGGCGGCGUGCCUAAUACAUGCAAGUCGAGCGAACGGACGAGAAGCUUGCUUCUCUGAUGUUAGCGGCGGACGGGUGAGUAACACGUGGAUAACCUACCUAUAAGACUGGGAUAAAUUCGGGAAACCGUAGCUAAUACCGGAUAAUAUUUUGAACCGCAUGGUUCAAAAGUGAAAGACGGUCUUGCUGUCACUUAUAGAUGGAUCCGCGCUGCAUUAGCUAGUUGGUAAGGUAACGGCUUACCAAGGCAACGAUGCAUAGCCGACCUGAGAGGGUGAUCGGCCACACUGGAACUGAGACACGGUCCAGACUCCUACGGGAGGCAGCAGUAGGGAAUCUUCCGCAAUGGGCGAAAGCCUGACGGAGCAACGCCGCGUGAGUGAUGAAGGUCUUCGGAUCGUAAAACUCUGUUAUUAGGGACGAACAUAUGUGUAAGUAUCUGUGCACAUCUUGACGGUACCUAAUCAGAAAGCCACGGCUAACUACGUG